CGUUUCGAAGUGGUGUGUUUCUUUAGCGUUUUCUCGGCGAUGGUAGAAUAAUCUUGACGAAAUAGCACGAGAACGAAGCAGAAAAGUAGAACCGAUUUCGCCAACAUCCUGAGUGUCUGAUAGUUUGGUAUACUGCUUGCGCCUUGCGGGCACAAUGAAAUGCCCUCUUCAAAGAAACUCUUAGAUAGCACUUAACAGGUUAACACUUUAAUAUUAACCGAAAUAUUGUGUUAGUGAAUUGAAUUCUGCCCAGCAAGUUGGUGGCUUGUGUGUCGUAACAAUAUAUCAGUUAUUUAAAUUUAACGAGCCGCAAUGUUGUAUGGCACUCUGUGUGUAGUCCUGUCGAGUGUCGAUAUAUGAAGCAAGCGCUCUGUAGAGGUGAUGACUAGCAAUGCUUUGACUCACAGAGGGAUAUCCAUUCUUUCCUCAAUGAAGCUAUUCCACACAGUCAUCAGACAUGGUUCACAGGCGACGU
This is a non-coding RNA of Paramuricea clavata, 475 nucleotides long. The record is from the annotation of a GenBank genome assembly. Lineage: Eukaryota; Metazoa; Cnidaria; Anthozoa; Malacalcyonacea; Plexauridae.